RNAcentral lists this ribosomal RNA (468 nucleotides) under uncultured bacterium. Its description in RNAcentral is "partial 16S ribosomal RNA". It matches the Rfam family "Bacterial small subunit ribosomal RNA", at positions 28 to 507 of the family's 1533-position model. The record is from RNAcentral.
GACGAACGCUGGCGGCGUGCUUAACACAUGCAAGUCGAACGGAAAGGCCCUGCUUUUGUGGGGUGCUCGAGUGUCUAACUGGUGAGUAACACGUGAGUAACCUGCCCUUGACUUUGGGAUAACUUCAGGAAACUGGGGCUACUACCGGAUCGGAGCUCCUGCUGCAUUGUGGGGUUUGGAAAGUUUCGGCGGUUGGGGAUGGACUCGCGGCUUAUCAGCUUGUUGGUGGGGUAGUGGCUUACCAAGGCUUUGACGGGUAGCCGGACUGAGAGGGUGACCGGACACAUUGGGACUGAGAUACGGCCCAGACGCCUACGGGAGGCAGCAGUGGGGAAUAUUGCACAAUGGGCGGAAGCCUGAUGCAGCAAAGCCGCGUGCGGGAUGACGGCAUUCGGGUUGUAAACCGCUUUCGCCUGUGACGAAGAGUGAGUGACGGUAAUGGGUAAAGAAGCACCGGCUAACUACGUG